GAUCAAAGCAUGCUCCGCCCACUUUCAGGUGCUGCCCCGCCUCCCAGAACUAUGGCUGCCGCAGUGUGAGGAAACCUUUACCGUGUUUUACGACCUACUACAAUGGCAUGUUCGCUUGGUGCUGCCCCCUACAGAAGAUUGCAGUCAGCAACUGUAACUGCGGGAAGUGCGCCGUGUUUUACAAAGACUGUUUCUACACCGGCCAGUGCCAGAGACGCUACAGCUACACCCACUUUGCUGCCGUCUGCUACGUCAAGUGGUGGGGGACCAUCCUCCAUUUCGCCAGGUACCUGCCCACCAGCUGCUACUGUAGGCAGGUCUAGGAGCAGACGAUUUGAAAUGUAUUCAACUGACAUAUUUUUCUGGCAACUUUUAGAGUAGAAAAACUCACUGGCUUUUUUUUGUGAUCGAACAUUUCACAAUUCAUUAAAAAUUUGAUAAACUGAGUAUUUUUAAAAUUUCCAAAGCCCUCGUGUUCAGAUUAUAGUAAAUUUUGUAGAAAAAAUAUUAUUCAAUGAUAUUUAUUCCCUUGUAUUUGAUGUCUCUAAGUUUCUGAAAUAAUAAGCCACACAGUUUAUAUUUACAUUGUUGAUACUGAGUGAAAAUUGUUAUUGAUCAACAUGCAUGCCAUAUAUCAUUUCAUUGCGGUAACUUACUUACGUAGACUGUCUUAAUUAAGUGUGUCUUCAUCACUGAGGUCUUAAUCCAGACGUUUGCAACUUGAAUGAAAGGUGUUCUAUAAAAGUGGCCUAAGGUUUCUGUGGUUAUCACUAAUACAACUUUGAUGUUGUUAUGACACUGUUGAUGUUAUGAUUGUUUUCAUUAAAACUUCUUGAAUUAA
Long non-coding RNA from Physella acuta, 841 nucleotides. RefSeq lists it as uncharacterized. The record is from RefSeq and is a predicted model, not a curated record. Lineage: Eukaryota; Metazoa; Mollusca; Gastropoda; Physidae.